This 1496-nucleotide ribosomal RNA is filed under the name uncultured rumen bacterium. Its description in RNAcentral is "bacterial SSU rRNA". It matches the Rfam family "Bacterial small subunit ribosomal RNA". The record is from RNAcentral.
AGAGUUUGAUCAUGGCUCAGGAUGAACGCUGGCGGCGUGCCUAACACAUGCAAGUCGAGCGAGAAACUUUUCAGAAGAUUCUUCGGAUGAUUCAGAGAAGUGGACAGCGGCGGACGGGUGAGUAACGCGUGGGCAACCUGCCCCUGACCGGAGGAUAGCCAAAGGAAACUUUGAAUAAUACUCCAUGAUGCUGCGAGGUCACAUGAUCAUGCAGCCAAAGAUUUAUCGGUGAGGGAUGGGCCCGCGUCUGAUUAGCCAGUUGGUGAGGUAGCGGCUCACCAAAGCGACGAUCGGUAGCCGGCCUGAGAGGGUGAACGGCCACAUUGGAACUGAGACACGGUCCAGACUCCUACGGGAGGCAGCAGUGGGGAGUAUUGCACAAUGGGGGGAGCCCUGAUGCACCCACCGCCGCGUGAAGGAAGAAUGUUUUCGGAUCGUAAACUUCUGUCCCUGGGGAAGAAGAAGUGACGGUACCCAAGGAGGAAGCCCCGGCUAACUACGUGCCAGCAGCCGCGGUAAUACGUAGGGGGCGAGCGUUAUCCGGAAUUACUGGGCGUAAAGAGUGCGUAGGUGGUCAUGCAAGCGCGGGGUUUAAGGCUAGGGCCUAACCGUAGUUCGCCCCGCGAACUGCGUGACUUGAGUACAGGAGGGGAAAGCGGAAUUCCUAGUGUAGCGGUGAAAUGCGUAGAUAUUAGGAGGACACCGGUGGCGAAGGCGGCUUUCUGGACUGAAACUGACACUGASGCACGAAAGCGUGGGUAGCAAACAGGAUUAGAUACCCUGGUAGUCCACGCCGUAAACGAUGAGCACUAGGUGUCGGGCACGAGAGUGUUCGGUGCCGGAGCAAACGCAUUAAGUGCUCCGCCUGGGGAGUACGCACGCAAGUGUAAAACUCAAAGGAAUUGACGGGGACCCGCACAAGCAGCGGAGCAUGUGGUUUAAUUCGAAGCAACGCGAAGAACCUUACCAGGGCUUGACGUCCUGCUGAAAGGUCGGGCAACGCCGACCCCUCUUCGGACAGCAGAGACAGGUGGUGCACGGUUGUCGUCAGCUCGUGUCGUGAGAUGUUGGGUCAAGUCCCGCAACGAGCGCAACCCUUGCUGCUAGUUGCCAUCAGUGAGUUGGGCACUCUAGCAGGACUGCCGGGGACAACCCGGAGGAAGGCGGGGAUGACGUCAAAUCAUCAUGCCCCUUAUGUUCUGGGCGACACACGUGCUACAAUGGACGGUACAGAGGGAAGCGAGACAGUGAUGUUGAGCGGAUCCCGAAAAGCCGUUCUCAGUUCGGAUUGAAGUCUGCAAUUCGACUUCAUGAAGCUGGAAUCGCUAGUAAUCGCAGAUCAGCCAAGCUGCGGUGAAUCCGUUCCCGGGCCUUGUACACACCGCCCGUCACACCACCCGAGCCGGGUGUACCCGAAGCCGGUGGCCUAACCGAAAGGGAGGAGCCGUCGAAGGUGUGUCUGGUGAGGGGGGUGAAGUCGUAACAAGGUAACCGUA